CGGAGGGUGCAAGCGUUAAUCGGAAUCACUGGGCGUAAAGCGCACGUAGGCGGCUUGGUAAGUCAGGGGUGAAAUCCCACAGCCCAACUGUGGAACUGCCUUUGAUACUGCCAGGCUUGAGUACCGGAGAGGGUGGCGGAAUUCCAGGUGUAGGAGUGAAAUCCGUAGAUAUCUGGAGGAACACCGGUGGCGAAGGCGGCCACCUGGACGGUAACUGACGCUGAGGUGCGAAAGCGUGGGUAGCAAACAGGAUU
RNAcentral lists this ribosomal RNA (254 nucleotides) under uncultured bacterium. Its description in RNAcentral is "partial 16S ribosomal RNA". It matches the Rfam family "Bacterial small subunit ribosomal RNA", at positions 526 to 779 of the family's 1533-position model. The record is from RNAcentral.